Molecule: long non-coding RNA, 556 nt
Filed under: Chinchilla lanigera (long-tailed chinchilla)
Lineage: Eukaryota; Metazoa; Chordata; Mammalia; Rodentia; Chinchillidae
Description: lncRNA (ENSCLAG00000029269.1)
Source: RNAcentral
GGGCCUGGUCGGCUCCAGCAGGUGCAUGGUCUUUCCCACGCGCACCUGCUGGCCUGCGCCUCGCGCGCCCUCUGCUGGUCAUAGCCGGUAAGUGCACUGAGGAAAGGGCCCGUCCGGGAAAUGUUAGUAAAUCAAUCCGAAUCUCGUUUCCACAGCUACCCAAACGGUUUGUAGGACGGUUACUUUCCUCAUUUUCAGUCUCCCAGAGCUAGGAGUUCACAUCCUAAGUCAAUCUGUGUCCUAGAAAGUACUUCAGAGAGCUCCGUUUCCUAGGAUCAGAUUUCCUCCCUUCCCUAAGAGCAGUGUUAUUUUAAUUAACGACAGAUGAGCGCACAGGCAAAGGUUCUCUGGACAGGUAUGGGGUCAUAAAAAGAAGGAGACGAUGCCAAAGGAUCGCGGUUUUGCUUAUUUAUUUCGAUGUUUCCUUAGGGCAGUGGACUUUUGGGACAUUCUUACGAAUACCUUCUGGCACAUCCUUGAACUUGGGCACAAUCUAAGCCCACAAAGUGUGAAACACAAAUCCUUGAACCUAGACCGGCGUUCACAGACCGCUUCG